Molecule: ribosomal RNA, 465 nt
Filed under: uncultured bacterium
Lineage: Bacteria
Description: partial 16S ribosomal RNA
Rfam family: Bacterial small subunit ribosomal RNA
Source: RNAcentral
GACGAACGCUGGCGGCGUGCUUAACACAUGCAAGUCGAACGGAAAGGCCCUGCUUGCAGGGUACUCGAGUGGCGAACGGGUGAGUAACACGUGGGUGUUCUGCCCUGCACUUCGGGAUAAGCCUGGGAAACUGGGUCUAAUACCGGAUAGGAGCCAUUUUUAGUGUGAUGGUUGGAAAGUUUUUUCGGUGUAGGAUGAGCUCGCGGCCUAUCAGCUUGUUGGUGGGGUAAUGGCCUACCAAGGCGGCGACGGGUAGCCGGCCUGAGAGGGUGGACGGCCACAUUGGGACUGAGAUACGGCCCAGACUCCUACGGGAGGCAGCAGUGGGGAAUAUUGCACAAUGGGCGCAAGCCUGAUGCAGCGACGCCGCGUGGGGGAUGACGGCCUUCGGGUUGUAAACUCCUUUCGCUAGGGACGAAGCUUUUUGUGACGGUACCUAGAGAAGAAGCACCGGCUAACUACGUG